CCUACGGGAGGCAGCAGUAGGGAAUCUUCCACAAUGGGCGAAAGCCUGAUGGAGCAACGCCGCGUGGGUGAAGAAGGUCUUCGGAUCGUAAAACCCUGUUGUUCGAGAAGAAAGUGCGUGAGAGUAACUGUUCUCGUUUCGACGGUAUCUAACCCGAAAGCCAAGGCUAACUACGUGCCUGCAGCCGCGGUAAUACGUAGGUGGCAAGCGUUAUUCGGAUUUCUUGGGCGUAAAGGGAACGCAGGCGGUCUUUUAAGUCUGAUGUGAAAGCCUUCGGCUUAACCGGAGUAGUGCAUUGGAAACUGGGAGACUUAAGGUCAGAAGAGGAGAGUGGAACGCCAUGGGUAGCGGUGAAAUGCGUAGAUAGAUGGAAGAACACCAGUGGCGAAAGCGGCUCUCUGGUCUGUAACUGACGCUGAGGUUCGAAAGCGUGGGUAGCAAACAGGAUUAGAGACCCCGGUAGUC
RNAcentral lists this ribosomal RNA (465 nucleotides) under uncultured bacterium. RNAcentral's name for it is "partial 16S ribosomal RNA". It matches the Rfam family "Bacterial small subunit ribosomal RNA", at positions 338 to 795 of the family's 1533-position model. The record is from RNAcentral.